RNAcentral lists this long non-coding RNA (585 nucleotides) under Cricetulus griseus (Chinese hamster). RNAcentral's name for it is "lncRNA (ENSCGRG00015033528.1)". Lineage: Eukaryota; Metazoa; Chordata; Mammalia; Rodentia; Cricetidae. The record is from RNAcentral.
CUGAGCUCGGCACCCACAUGGCCUGUGUAGUUCACCCGCGAGCUUUGUGAGCUGCCUUGCUGAAAUCUGUUCCGGGGUGGGAUUUAUCAGUGGAAAGAAAAAUGUAACCCUGCUCCUCAUGGUUAACACGGAUUGUUUCUUUCUCAGCUUUUAAUCUGGUCACUGGAAGGGGAUUUUAUAGUCCUUGAAAAAGAGGAGUGAUAAUUUACAUCAAGAGAGAAAUGUGGAAUUUGAAGAAAGUUGUUUCUUCAGCUUUGCAGUUCUGAAUACUUGUUUCUACUAUUGUACCAAGACAGACAGACAUCUUUGGAUUGUGAAUCUUGGAAUUGGGAACCCUCUUCAUCUCAACAGUCCAUAGAGAGGAUUUCUAGAAUGUGAAGUUCAGAACUUACACAUUUGCGUUUGAGUGUGAAUAUUUAUCACAAAUGCACAAGUGUUGAAUUUGCAUUUGUUCCUUUGUCCCUGGGCUAACAUCUGGGUAUUGUUGUUUCUGUAAAUGAUGCUGUUUUGUAAGCGCCUACUUGAGGUGCUAAGAGGUCCUAAUUGGAUUAAUGAAAAGCACAACAUUAGUGUCAGAGCUGAAGU